UACAGAGGGGGCAAGCGUUGUUCGGAAUUACUGGGCGUAAAGGGCGCGUAGGCGGCCUGUUAAGUCGAACGUGCAAUCCCCGGGCUCAACCCGGGAACUGCGUCCGAUACUGGCAGGCUUGAAUCCGGGAGAGGGAUGCGGAAUUCCAGGUGUAGCGGUGAAAUGCGUAGAUAUCUGGAGGAACACCGGUGGCGAAGGCGGCAUCCUGGACCGGCAUUGACGCUGAGGCGCGAAAGCCAGGGGAGCAAACGGG
Molecule: ribosomal RNA, 253 nt
Filed under: uncultured bacterium
Lineage: Bacteria
Description: partial 16S ribosomal RNA
Rfam family: Bacterial small subunit ribosomal RNA
Source: RNAcentral